GGGGCAGUAGCUCAGCUGGUUAGAGCAGGGGACUCAUAAUCCCUGGGUCGCGGGUUCAAGUCCUGCCUGCCCUACCG
This 77-nucleotide transfer RNA is filed under the name Glycomyces terrestris. Its description in RNAcentral is "Glycomyces sp. YIM 121974 tRNA-Met". It matches the Rfam family "tRNA". From Rfam's summary of the family: Transfer RNA (tRNA) molecules are approximately 80 nucleotides in length. Lineage: Bacteria; Bacillati; Actinomycetota; Actinomycetes; Glycomycetales; Glycomycetaceae. The record is from RNAcentral.